RNAcentral lists this ribosomal RNA (253 nucleotides) under uncultured bacterium. RNAcentral's name for it is "partial 16S ribosomal RNA". It matches the Rfam family "Bacterial small subunit ribosomal RNA", at positions 524 to 776 of the family's 1533-position model. The record is from RNAcentral.
UACGUAGGGGGCGAGCGUUGUCCGGAAUUACUGGGCGUAAAGGGCGUGUAGGCGGCGAACUAAGUUAGAGGUGAAAGGUUGGGGCUUAACCCCAAGCAUGCCUCUAAAACUGGUUGGCUUGAGUGCAGGAGAGGAAAGCGGAAUUCCUGGUGUAGCGGUGAAAUGCGUAGAUAUCAGGAGGAACACUCGUGGCGAAGGCGGCUUUCUGGCCUGUAACUGACGCUGAGGCGCGAAAGCGUGGGGAGCAAACAGG